This 457-nucleotide ribosomal RNA is filed under the name Vibrio cholerae. RNAcentral's name for it is "bacterial SSU rRNA". It matches the Rfam family "Bacterial small subunit ribosomal RNA", at positions 1 to 452 of the family's 1533-position model. The record is from RNAcentral. Lineage: Bacteria; Pseudomonadati; Pseudomonadota; Gammaproteobacteria; Vibrionales; Vibrionaceae.
UUUAAUUGAAGAGUUUGAUCAUGGCUCAGAUUGAACGCUGGCGGCAGGCCUAACACAUGCAAGUCGAGCGGCAGCACAGAGGAACUUGUUCCUUGGGUGGCGAGCGGCGGACGGGUGAGUAAUGCCUGGGAAAUUGCCCGGUAGAGGGGGAUAACCAUUGGAAACGAUGGCUAAUACCGCAUAACCUCGCAAGAGCAAAGCAGGGGACCUUCGGGCCUUGCGCUACCGGAUAUGCCCAGGUGGGAUUAGCUAGUUGGUGAGGUAAGGGCUCACCAAGGCGACGAUCCCUAGCUGGUCUGAGAGGAUGAUCAGCCACACUGGAACUGAGACACGGUCCAGACUCCUACGGGAGGCAGCAGUGGGGAAUAUUGCACAAUGGGCGCAAGCCUGAUGCAGCCAUGCCGCGUGUAUGAAGAAGGCCUUCGGGUUGUAAAGUACUUUCAGUAGGGAGGAAGGU